Non-coding RNA from Anas platyrhynchos (mallard), 4121 nucleotides. The record is from RefSeq and is a predicted model, not a curated record. Lineage: Eukaryota; Metazoa; Chordata; Aves; Anseriformes; Anatidae.
CAGGGAAGUUCUUUGUCCAGCUGGCUGUACCGGCAAAGCCCAAGUCCUGCCUCUAUUGUUACAGGAGUUGUACCUGACUCAUUUUCUGUGAUCCAUCUGGUAGAGGCAGGAUGCAAUUACUGUACAGCACCAUUAAAGGCUUAGUGCAGACAUGAGCUAACCUCCUGGAAUUAAUUUGCCAUUGUGAGGUAGAUGUUGAAAACAAUGCCAAGGUGGAUCUCUUAUCAAAGAAAGCCCGUGGCUUUUCUGUUCCUCCGGUAUUUUUCCUGCUGAUCCAAGGAGCAGCACAUUCAAGAAGAGAUGGGGAACAAGACAUAAACCUGUUUCGUUGCUCAUCCUUGCCUUUUCCACCUUGAGUGGUAGGAUGCAGAGGAGCCUCCAGCUUAUUGCUACCACUGGGAGAGGAGGAAACAGAUUUUGGAGGCUCCCACACAAAAUGGGUUUCUUACACAUCCCACUGAUGUGUACGCUACUGUGAGUCAUCCAGUGAAUUUACUACCCUGCAUGCAACAGGUUCAGUGAGCAAAGUGCCAAAGAAACCCACAGAAUAUAGCACACUCGCUAGUCCUACGUGCACAGUCAGAUGUGAUGAGCCUUUGCACAGGAUUUCCUACCAGCUUUGCCACAAGUUGACGUUGGACAAGUGGCUUCAUCCCGUGUAAUCUUAGUGUUGAGGAAAAAAAAAUGAUCUCAAAGCUACCUAUCUUAGCUGUUGAGUUUCUAAAUGCCACUUGUUUACACUUGUCUUUUUGCAUAUUUACCUUCGGUGUGCUGCUAGGUGUCGUGAAUAGUGUGCUUUAUGCUGCCAUCUCACUGCCCCUGCUUGCCUUCCCUGCUUUCUUCCCUUGGUCUGUUGCUGUGGUUUGUAAGGGAGCGAGGAAAGAGUGAAAGCUCGCAUGGCCUUUGACAUCUUUCCAGGCCAGUAAUAAAGCACUGGGAGGUUAAGUUUUAUGUUUUGCUUAGCCUUCCCCUCUGGAGACAUGAAAAGAAUUAUAGGAGUUUGAUCUAUUGUGUGGCUAGGCAACUGUGAUGGGUGCUUUAUUAAAGUCUAUAGCAAUCAAGCUAACACAAACCAGAACCUUUCUGUGCAGCUUUAUGUAACCCUUUAAAAAGUGAUGGAUGUUUUGCGGCAGGAGUGGAGGGAAAUCAGUAGGUUAGGUCAAACUGCACGACGUGAUAACCAGAACAAUUAAUAGUACUUACUGUGAAAUAGCAAGCUCUUGGCUCCGCAGAUAUUAUACGGUUUAUAAACCAGGACAGAUAGCCUUUAACGUAUGGCUCUGAUCAAAAGAGUGCCUAUAGAGCCCUCAGUACAAUAAAGCUGUUCCAUGGAGAUCAUUCUUUUCCAUGUCUGUGAUGUUUUAAGUAGUUUUUUUUGCUACUGGUUUUGCCCCUCUUUGUCUCCGCGCUAUAGGAGCAGCGCAGUUUGGGGGAGGGUACCGGAUUCCUUUCUUUCAAGAACUGGCAGCUGAACCAGUGGCAAUGGGGCCUUUUCCCCAUCGGUUGCCAUUUGUACAAAUUCACUGAAUCAGCCGCAGAGCUGUAAACGGGCAUGAUCUGUUUUUGUCUUUGUUCCUAGUGAUGAUGCCAGAAACCCUCCAGCUUGAAUUCCCGUCGCAAAGUGGGUCUGUGGUACCCGUGUUCUGAAAAAGCUUUUCUUUUGUUUGCUGUCCAACACAGAGACUCUAAGCUGGAUGUUGGGAGACACAAAGGACCUAACAGCACAGAAUGCAACUUGCUUGACAUGCCAGGGUACAUUUUCUUCUCCCUCAGCACCUUGGCUAUUUUGAUACCUUCAUUAACUUGAGACAUUCGAUUUUGUAGGUAUUGGCUGGUAGACCAAGCAGCUACUUGUCUGCUGCUCUUCCUUCCUAAAGCCAGAGAAGGAGGAAUACAACCUCAGCAGGAAGAAUCAGAAGAGGGAAGAAUCAACCACAGCAGGAAGAUUUAAAUGGCAGAAGGCAAUUUGUGCUGUACAAGUAUCGCUCUCAGCAGCAUACAGAAAACACAGCCUCCAGGAUCUCUUUGCCAUCUCAGUCUAUGCAGGGACUACAGCCCAUUUUCCUCCAAAUGGGACUACAACAAAUAAGCAGUAACACUCAGAGAGUGGUAUAAAUCUGCUAAUGAGGACAAACCAGCCCUGCGGAGAGAUGAGAGCAGGUUCCACCAGAGCAGAAUGAGAGAGGAAGAAUGGAAAGAGGCAAGAGAACAGAGCUGAGAAUUGGAACUGGAAGCUUCUCCUGUGCUCAGGCAAGCUUGGCAGAACACAUCGUGGCAAAUGGAACUGGACGCAGCAGAACCCAGGCUUAAGCCUGGCUCAGAUCUUAGACCCAGCACAGCCUCCUUAGAUCUGCAGGAUCUUUGUUUGUUUUCUUCUGUUGUAGAUCAUAAAAACACUGUUAGAACCACACAUGCUUUGCAAACUUUGAUCCAGUAACACAGGUAAGCUUGGGGACAAAGCUGCAAAAUGACUUCACAAAGUUGCCAGUAAAUGCUCAGCAGAGCUGGGUAUUGUACCUGCAAUGCACGGAAUUCCACAUUAAACCUUUAAACAACCCCCCCUCCCAUCACGUUGCAUUUCAGAACAGUAUGGGCCAGUUGUAGAGUCUGUCCACAUCAUUAUAUCCUAGCUGAUGGGUGGGCAGGUUGAGAUACAUGGUCAGAUCGUUUUGGAAUGGAAACAUUUCAAAGUGCAAUGAUAUCUAAAACACAUGGCUUGAGGAACAGAGAUACCGUGGCUCUUUAUUUUUCUGUGUGGGCUCAACCAGGUAUAGAUUAGAGCAAUUCUGGAGUAGAAACCUGACACUGGCCAGAGCAGUGCCAUGUCCCUUCCUGCUUGUACAGCCCACAGACUUUCCCACUCAGUACUUCUUCUCUUUCCUGUGCACCAGCAGAAAAGCUUGGUUAAAAAAGAGUCAUUUUCAGCUCAAGGUUUUAAAUGUUUUGUUCCUGAUGGUGAGUCAAUGAUUUUUCCAGUCCCACCCCCACAAUAAACAAGUGCAGGCUGAGUGUGGUCCAGAGGAAAAUGUGAGUUACACAUGUCCUGGCCACAUGCUCCUCCGGUACCAAUGAUAACCAUAUGGUGGCUCUCAGACCCUAGCUCUCCAACGAGAAGAAGUGUUAGCAAGCAUUAGUGCAACCUCCUGCAGAGCAGAUAUGUAACCUAGCCUCGCCUGUAGCUGCUUGCAUGUGCCCAGUAAACACCUUCACAACCUAGUACAGUUGUAGUGCCACAUUUUGUGGUUCAGCUAUGGCUAAACUGGGGAAGGUUGGGCUGAUGAGCUUGCUUGAGAAAAUUCCUAAGAAUAACACCAUGGCAGGUGUAUUGCCUGCCCUUUGUGCUGAGCCCAGACCACAGAGUAAACAGGCCUUUGCUUAGCAAUUUUAUGGUGAUAUAGGCUGUUGUUUAUUUAUUUAUUUUUUUAAAGACCUGUUUCUUCUGUCACCCUCAAAGUAACACUCAGAAAUGUGUAUGGUAUAGCCACAAAUCUAGAAGGAUGUUGCUAUACUGUUAAAGCAUCAGUGGAGCUUGGAGGAAAUGUUCCUCCCUCCCUCCCUCAGUCUGUCCCACUCUUCUUUUUCCCCAUCUCAUCAACCAGCUGCUCUUCAGUCACGUCACCUUGUCGUGGCACUGGGACCCAUUCCAGACGGCCUUUAUGUGCCUUCAUCAAGGUAGGCUGUGCUGGGACAACUUAGUCCUUCAUCUCCCAUGCCCUCUGGAAAGCAGGUACCCUGGUAUAACAAACUCAUCGCUGAACCCACAGCUCCUACUGUACUUCUCUGCUCCAAUGUUUCGCAGUCCAUCAAUUGCUUGUCAGAUUUGGGGACUGUCCUGGAAGCAACCAUGUCCCAGAACCAGUGCAGGAACCACAGCCCUCAGCAGCCCCCAGCACACAUCAUACCACCUACUGCCAGACUGGGAACUUGCCCCAGGUUGGCUGCUCUCCAUUCCCUCACUCUCUGUUCAUGCCUUAUAUCCAUUAACUGUCCAGCUAUUGCAUGAUACUGCUUGCAUGAGCUCCUAGACCCCCAUAAAUUAGCAUCAUCUUCACCAUUUUCUGUAGAGUUAAUGGGAAAGCUGAAGCCCAGAGAUCCCGAAGGAUGUUAUUCCCAUCAGGUAC